RNAcentral lists this transfer RNA (67 nucleotides) under Trichoferus campestris. Its description in RNAcentral is "tRNA-Ser". The record is from RNAcentral. Lineage: Eukaryota; Metazoa; Arthropoda; Insecta; Coleoptera; Cerambycidae.
GAAAUACGUGAAUCAGAAAUAAGCUUCUAACUUAAUUUCUAAGCGAUGAAAUUUCGUUUGUAUUUCU